UAGGGAAUUUUCCACAAUGGACGAAAGUCUGAUGGAGCAACGCCGCGUGCAGGAUGAAGGCCCUUGGGUCGUAAACUGCUUUUAUAUGUGAAGAUAAUGACGGUAGCAUAUGAAUAAGGAUCGGCUAACUCCGUGCCAGCAGCCGCGGUCAUACGGAGGAUCCAAGCGUUAUCCGGAAUUACUGGGCGUAAAGAGUUGCGUAGGUGGCAUAGUAAGUAGGUAGUGAAAGCGUGUGGCUCAACCAUACUCACAUUAUCUAAACUGCUAAGCUAGAAUAUAGAAGAGGUAGCUGGAAUUCCCUGUGUAGGAGUGAAAUCCGUAGAUAUAGGGAGGAACACCAAUGGCGUAGGCAGGCUACUGGUCUAUUAUUGACACUAAGGCACGAAAGCGUGGGUAGCAAACGGGAUUAGAUACCCAGGUAGUCCCUGAGCGGGCUGGCAAGGCGCAU
Molecule: ribosomal RNA, 448 nt
Filed under: uncultured bacterium
Lineage: Bacteria
Description: bacterial SSU rRNA
Rfam family: Bacterial small subunit ribosomal RNA
Source: RNAcentral